RNAcentral lists this ribosomal RNA (252 nucleotides) under uncultured bacterium. RNAcentral's name for it is "partial 16S ribosomal RNA". It matches the Rfam family "Bacterial small subunit ribosomal RNA", at positions 524 to 776 of the family's 1533-position model. The record is from RNAcentral.
UACGGAGGGCGCGAGCGUUAAUCGGAAUUACUGGGCGUAAAGCGAGCGCAGGUGGUUUAUUAAGUCUGGUGUAAAAGGCAGUGGCUCAACCAUUGUAUGCUUUGGAAACUGUGCGGCUGGAGUGCAGGAGGGGUAAGCGGAAUUCCUAGUGUAGCGGUGAAAUGCGUAGAUAUUAGGAGGAACACCGGUGGCGAAGGCGGCUUACUGGACUGUAACUGACGUUGAGGCACGAAAGUGUGGGGAGCAAACAGG